This 416-nucleotide ribosomal RNA is filed under the name soil bacterium S84D2. Its description in RNAcentral is "bacterial SSU rRNA". It matches the Rfam family "Bacterial small subunit ribosomal RNA", at positions 49 to 511 of the family's 1533-position model. The record is from RNAcentral.
UAACACAUGCAAGUCGAACGGGCACUUCGGUGCUAGUGGCAGACGGGUGAGUAACACGUGGGAACGUACCUUUCGGUUCGGAAUAAUUCAGGGAAACUUGGACUAAUACCGGAUACGCCCUUUGGGGGAAAGAUUUAUCGCCGAUAGAUCGGCCCGCGUCUGAUUAGCUAGUUGGUGAGGUAAAGGCUCACCAAGGCGACGAUCAGUAGCUGGUCUGAGAGGAUGAUCAGCCACAUUGGGACUGAGACACGGCCCAAACUCCUACGGGAGGCAGCAGUGGGGAAUAUUGGACAAUGGGCGCAAGCCUGAUCCAGCCAUGCCGCGUGAGUGAUGAAGGCCUUAGGGUUGUAAAGCUCUUUUGUCCGGGAAGAUAAUGACUGUACCGGAAGAAUAAGCCCCGGCUAACUUCGUGCCAG